AGUGAACGCUGGCGGUAGGCCUAACACAUGCAAGUCGAACGGCAGCACAGUAAGAUCUUGCUCUUACGGGUGGCGAGUGGCGGACGGGUGAGGAAUACAUCGGAAUCUACUUUUUCGUGGGUGAUAACGUAGGGAAACUUAUGCUAAUACCUCAUAUGACCUACGGGUGAAAGCAGUGGUUCUUGGCACUUUUCGCGAUUGAAUUAGCCGAUGCCGGAUUAGCUAGUUGGCGGGGUAAAGGCCCACCAAGGCGACGAUCCGUAGCUGAUCUGAGAGGAUGAUCAGCCACACUGGAACUGAGACGCGGUCCAGACUCCUACGGGAGGCAGCAGUGGGGAAUAUUCCGCAAUGGGCGAAAGCCUGAUCGAGCAAUACCGCGUGAGUGAAGAAGGCCUUCGGAUUGUAAAGCCCUGUUGUUGGGAAAGAAAAGCAGCGGGUUAAUACACCGAUGUUCUGACGGUACCCAAAGAGUAAGCACCGGCUAACUUCGUG
This 492-nucleotide ribosomal RNA is filed under the name uncultured bacterium. RNAcentral describes it as "partial 16S ribosomal RNA". It matches the Rfam family "Bacterial small subunit ribosomal RNA", at positions 29 to 507 of the family's 1533-position model. The record is from RNAcentral.